This 72-nucleotide transfer RNA is filed under the name Camelus bactrianus (Bactrian camel). It matches the Rfam family "tRNA". Rfam says of the family: Transfer RNA (tRNA) molecules are approximately 80 nucleotides in length. RNAcentral also lists the same sequence under 1 other name. The record is from Rfam by way of RNAcentral. Lineage: Eukaryota; Metazoa; Chordata; Mammalia; Artiodactyla; Camelidae.
GAGGGUAUAGCUCAGCGGUAAAGCGCGUGCUUAGCAUGCGUGAGGUCCUGGGUUCGAUCCCCAAUACCUCCA